Molecule: unclassified non-coding RNA, 1090 nt
Filed under: Hevea brasiliensis (rubber tree)
Lineage: Eukaryota; Viridiplantae; Streptophyta; Magnoliopsida; Malpighiales; Euphorbiaceae
Source: RNAcentral
UGCAAAGAAGGACUGGUACGAUAUAAAAGCUCCUUCUGUCUUCCAAGUGAAGAAUGUGGGCAAGACUCUUGUUACUCGUACGCAGGGUACUAAGAUUGCUUCUGAAGGACUCAAACACCGUGUGUUUGAGGUCUCCCUAGCUGACCUUCAGGGUGAUGAGGAUCAUGCUUACAGAAAGAUUCGUUUGAGAGCUGAAGAUGUUCAAGGGAAGAAUGUUUUGACAAAUUUCUGGGGAAUGGAUUUUACAACAGACAAGUUGAGGUCUUUGGUGAGGAAAUGGCAAACUUUGAUUGAAGCUCAUGUGGAUGUGAAGACAACUGAUAACUACACUUUGAGGAUGUUCUGCAUUGGGUUUACCAAGAGAAGACCAAACCAGGUCAAGAGGACUUGUUAUGCACAAUCCAGCCAGAUAAGACAGAUUCGUAGGAAAAUGAGGGAGAUCAUGGUAGCCCAAGCAUCAUCUUCUGAUCUCAAGGAUUUGGUCCGCAAGUUCAUUCCAGAGAUCAUUGGCAAAGAGAUUGAGAAAGCAACUUCAAGUAUCUACCCUUUACAAAAUGUCUUCAUUAGGAAAGUAAAGAUUUUGAAAGCUCCAAAGUUUGAUCUUGGAAAACUAAUGGAGGUUCAUGGUGAUUAUUCAGAGGAUGUAGGUGUGAAGUCGGAGAGGCCAGCUGAUGAAACAAUGGCUGAGGCGCCUGCUGAAGCUACUGCAUGAGCUUGAAAUCAUUUUUAUUUUUGCUAUUUAUUGAGUUAUUGUUGAUCUCCAUUUUUUUUUUAAAUUGCGGAACGUUAGCAUGUUUUUUGUUUAGCUGAGAUUCAGAGAUUCAGAGUGGUUCUUUUGAGGAUCUGUUUUUGCAUUUUAGUCAAAUAGUUGGUUACUUGUUUGCCCAAAAUUAUAAACACAUUUACAUAUUUUUCUUUAUUUGAUUUGGAGGUGACUCGAGAUUUUCGUAGAGUCGGAAAUUUUUGGAUAUCAUCUCUCAUGCAAUUGUGUUGGGUAAAACAUUGUUGUCCAAUUGAUCUUUUUGUACAAUUUCAAUUGUUGGAUUUAAUGUCUGGAAUUUUCAAAUUUUCAGGAGCAAUAAUAUGGUAG